CAUCUAUCAUAUCCAACACAUACAACCGAGAUAGAUUAAUCACCAAGAGAUCAAAUUUGAUUUCAAAAUUUUGAUGAAUAUAUGUAUUAAGAAUUCAUAUAAUAAAUUAUCGUCAAAAUAAUAAAAAGUGGAGUAAAACCGAUAAUUAAUAUGAAUUUAAUUCAAGAUAAAUUCCGGUUAAAAACACUUUAAAAAAAUUAUAAUCUUCUCAAAAUAAAGAUUUUCAAUCGUCUCCUUUCUCAAAGAAAAAUUUUUAAAAUUUCCAAACAUCCUUCCUCAAAUCAUUUUUUUUUUAAAAAAAUUUUGCACACGAAAACCAUCAUGUAAUGCAAUGAAUAAAAAUAUGCAACAAGUACCAAUCAAAGCAUUACAUAAAAACAAACUAAGACGAAGAGCAAGAAAAGAUAUCACCUUUCCGAAUCCAAACUUGUCGGAUUUUCUGUUGUCUUAUC
Molecule: long non-coding RNA, 452 nt
Filed under: Ananas comosus (pineapple)
Lineage: Eukaryota; Viridiplantae; Streptophyta; Magnoliopsida; Poales; Bromeliaceae
Description: long non-coding RNA (ACOM_LNC019519)
Source: RNAcentral